RNAcentral lists this transfer RNA (77 nucleotides) under Pleodorina starrii. Its description in RNAcentral is "tRNA-Pro". Lineage: Eukaryota; Viridiplantae; Chlorophyta; Chlorophyceae; Chlamydomonadales; Volvocaceae. The record is from RNAcentral.
GGGAGUUUGGUCUAGUGGUAUGGGGAUUCUCGCUUCGGGCCUGCGAGAGGCCGCGAGUUCGAUUAUCGCAUCUCCCC